This 365-nucleotide unclassified non-coding RNA is filed under the name uncultured bacterium. Its description in RNAcentral is "contains 16S-23S intergenic spacer region". The record is from RNAcentral.
UCCGGCGAUAGGCCGGCGGUCCCCUGUGUGAAAUCUAACGCAGGGUAAGGGUUGCGCUCGUUUACGGACUUAACCGAACAUCUCACGACACGAGCUGACGACGGCCAUGCAGCACCUGAUUCGUAGGCUCCUUGCGGCACUUUUUCCUUUCGGAAAAAUUCCUACGACUUCAAGCCCAGGUAAGGUUCUUCGUUUAGCGUCGAAUUAAACCACAUGCUCCACCGCUUGUGCGGGCCCCCGUCAAUUCCUUUGAGUUUUAGCCUUGCGGCCGUACUCCCCAGGCGGAACACUUAACGCGUUAGCUUCGACUCUGAGAGGGUCGACUCUCCCAAUGUCUAGUGUUCAUCGUUUACAGCGUGGACUAC